This 439-nucleotide ribosomal RNA is filed under the name uncultured bacterium. Its description in RNAcentral is "bacterial SSU rRNA". It matches the Rfam family "Bacterial small subunit ribosomal RNA", at positions 361 to 773 of the family's 1533-position model. The record is from RNAcentral.
AUUGUUCGCAAUGGGCGCAAGCCUGACGACGCAACGCCGCGUGGAGGAUGAAGAUCUUCGGGUCGUAGACUCCUGUCGAGCGGGACGAACACUUAUCCGGUUAAUACCUGGGUAGGCUGACGGUACCGGGAGAGGAAGCACCGGCUAACUCCGUGCCCGCAGCCGCGGUAAUACGGAGGGUGCGAGCGUUGUCCGGAAUCACUGGGCGUAAAGGGCGCGUAGGCGGCAUGCCAAGCGUGUGGUGAAAGCCCGGGGCUCAACCCCGGGUCGGCCGUGCGGACUGGCGUGCUCGAGCACUGUAGGGGCGGGUGGAAUUCCGGGUGUAGCGGUGGAAUGCGUAGAGAUCCGGAAGAACACCGGUGGCGAAGGCGGCCCACUGGGCAGGAAGACACCGCAAGGCGUCGGCUGACGCUGAGGCGCGACAGCGUGGGGAGCAAAC